CUCCAUUGAAAACUCCCUUCUGGGCAUUGGAGGCACGGGCAACAACUUCACAAUCCCUAUCUUGUGGAGAUGAUCGAGGGAAGGAGAGGCAAGAAGGGAGGGGGCCUCCUCCGAGCCCAGCGAUCCUACCAGCACCUGUCACCAGCCGUGCUCGCCCUCCCAGGCUGCAGACGACAAUGGGUCAGGCCCUGAAGCACCAUUCAUGCAGGCGGAAGACUGCACACCAUCAGCAACGCGCUAUACCAGUCACCCAUCCACAAGCAAG
Molecule: non-coding RNA, 265 nt
Organism: Pelobates cultripes (western spadefoot toad)
Lineage: Eukaryota; Metazoa; Chordata; Amphibia; Anura; Pelobatidae
Source: the annotation of a GenBank genome assembly